RNAcentral lists this ribosomal RNA (466 nucleotides) under uncultured bacterium. RNAcentral's name for it is "bacterial SSU rRNA". It matches the Rfam family "Bacterial small subunit ribosomal RNA", at positions 26 to 507 of the family's 1533-position model. The record is from RNAcentral.
AGGACGAACGCUGGCGGCGUGCUUAACACAUGCAAGUCGAGCGAUGAAGCACCUUCGGGUGUGAAUUAGCGGCGAACGGGGUGAGGAACACGUGAAGAAUCUGCCUUCAACUCUGGGAUAACUCCGGGAAACCGGGGCUAAUACCGGAUAUGAGCCUUGAUCGCAUGAUCGGGGCUGGAAAGAAUUUCGGUCAAGGAUGAGCUCGCGGCCUAUCAGCUAGUUGGUGAGGUAAUGGCUCACCAAGGCGACGACGGGUAGCCGGCCUGAGAGGGUGACCGGCCACACUGGAACUGAGACACGGUCCAGACUCCUACGGGAGGCAGCAGUGGGGAAUAUUGCACAAUGGGCGAAAGCCUGAUGCAGCAACGCCGCGUGAGGGAUGAAGGCCUUCGGGUUGUAAACCUCUUUUAGCAGGGAAGAAGCGAAAGUGACGGUACCUGCAGAAAAAGCACCGGCUAACUACGUG